Molecule: long non-coding RNA, 2418 nt
Organism: Mytilus trossulus (common blue mussel)
Lineage: Eukaryota; Metazoa; Mollusca; Bivalvia; Mytilida; Mytilidae
Exons: 3
Source: RefSeq, a predicted model, not a curated record
GUUUUAUGAAGAUGUCUAUAGUUUUGAGUCCCCAAGGGUGGCUGGGGUAUAGAAAUAUGGUCACUUGGUCUUCUCACGACCGGCAGUAAAACGCUUGCCGAAGUGGGGCGUCCUUUUUGAAAGAAGAUCAUAUAUAUUUUGUUUAAUGAAGAUGUCUAUAGUAUUGAUGGUAGGACAUAUGUAUUGUGUUUUAUGGUGAUGUCCAUAGAAUUGAUUGAAGGUCAUAUGUAUUGUGUUUUAAGGAGAUGUCUACAGUAUUGAUAGUAGUUCAUAAGUAUUGUGAUUUAUGAAGAUGUCUAAAGUAUUGAUGGUAGGACAUAUGUAUUGUGUUUUAUGAAGAUGUCUAUAGUAUUGAUGGUAGGACAUAUGUAUUGUGUUUUAUAAAGACAUCUAUUGUAUUGAUGAUAGGUCAUAUGUAUUGUGUUUUAUGAAGAUUUCUAUAGUAUUGAUGGUAGGACAUAUGUAUUAUGUUUUAUAAAGACGUCUAUAGUAUUGAUGGUAGGUCAUAUGUAUUGUGUUUUAUGAAGAUGUCUAUAGUAUUGAUGGUAGGACAUAUGUAUUGUGUUUUAUAAAGACAUCUAUAGUAUUGAUGGUAGGUCAUAUGUAUUGUGUUUUAUGAAGAUGUCUAUAGUAUUGAUAGUAGGUCAUAUGUAUUGUGUUUUAUAAAGACGUCUAUAGUAUUGAUGGUAGGUCAUGUGUAAUUGUUUUAUGAAGAUGUCUAUAAUAUUGAUAGUAGGUCAUAUGUAUUGUACGCCACAUCCGGUUGCAUACGAAAGUAGGCCUUAAAAAAUAUUCCCUUGAAUUUGACAGUUUUAGAAAAUUAACCCUGCAUUUCAAUGCACUUAAAUUUUUCUGUAUCGUAAAUAGGUAUGUUGGAUGUCUGAAUGCAUCAUUCUUUUUUUAUUUGGUCGUCUUAUAAAAUAUUCUGGAACGUUAAGGUUACAUAGUUACCAAAGCAAGUAACCAGUAAAUACAAGUGUAAAAAUUGGGUUGUUUACUUCUGGUGAUGAUUAUUUUCUUAUAUGCAAAGAAAUGUAGUGUGAAUUUUUCACUGUAUCACUGGAAAGGAUUAAACUUUACACAUGCAAAGUAUUUCUUUGGUUGAAAUAAAGUGUUAACCAUGUUCUGGAGAGCAUUCUGUUGAAAAAUCUUAUAUGUGAAUUGUUCUGCAGAUGACACUUCAGCACUAAAACAAAAGAUAUCAAGUUUUGAUGAAAAAGGAAGGAAGGAGGAAAAAUGGACCAAAACAGACCAAAACAGACCUUCAAAUGAACUCUAAAAGGUGCAAUAAAAUUGUUUAUCAUCUUAAAGUUGUCUUUUGUAUUCUAUUUAAUUGUUUGAAUUCAUAGAUCAUGAGUUUAUGAUCAGAUAGUAGUCAACACUGCAUUUUAUAAUGAUACACUGAAAUGAGGAUUUUUCAAAGAAAUUAGACUGAAAUUGCCGUAGGAUAUGGCCUUACAUUAUAGUGAUUUUCUCUGAAACUAUAGCUCUGACUGAGACAAAACUUGACAGUUAUAUAUGCUUGAAAUAACUUGCAAUUGGAGGGAAAAAAAUUACAUUAAGUUUAUUUGAUAUUUAGGUGUUCUUUAGGUGUAAUACCACCAAAUCAUGGUACGCCACAUCCGGUUGCAUACAAAAGUAGGCCUAAAAAAAUAUUCCCUUGAAUUUGACAGUUGUAGAAAAUUAACCCUGCAUUUCAAUGCACUUAAAUUUUUCUGAGUCGUAAAUAUGUAUGUUGGAUGUCUGAAUGCAUCAUUCUUUUUUUAUUUGGUCGUCUUAUAAAAUAUUCUGGAAUGUUAAGGUUACAUAGUUACCAAAGCAAGUAACCAGUAAAUACAAGUGUAAAAAUUGGGUUGUUUACUUCCGGUGAUGAUUAUUUUCUUAUAUGCAAUGAAAUGUAGUGUGAAUUUUUCACUGUAUCACUGGAAAGGAUUAAACUUUACACAUGCAAAUUUUUGGUUGAAAUAAAGGUAAAUACUGUACAAUUUUUUUAAAAGUGUCAAUUUAACAUGGACUAGUAGGGAAAAAUCAAUGGUGUUAUUACACCUAAAAUAAAGAGGACAAAUCAGAUACUCUACGGGAUUGAAGGACAUUUACUAGGUUUGGAUUGUCCUAACCAAUCAAUAAACUUUGAAUAUUCAGGUCUCGUAAUAUCUUCCAAUCAGGUAGCAAGAAAAAUUCUUGCAUUAACUGUCCAUCAUUCAAUUCUUAAUCUCGACUCCUAGGAGUCGAAAAUUAAAAUCUCCCCCUAAGCUGUCAAGGCUAAGAGGGAUUCUCACUCUUUGGGGGUUUAUGAUGUUGGAAAGUAUGUUGUAUUUUUUAGUGUUGUUGGGAUGUUGUCACACUGAUGUUUUCUCUGCAUCUUCUUUUACCUUAAAAUGUUUAUAUCCAUUUCUAUAUAUUAUGUACAAAUGUAUA